RNAcentral lists this ribosomal RNA (465 nucleotides) under uncultured bacterium. Its description in RNAcentral is "partial 16S ribosomal RNA". It matches the Rfam family "Bacterial small subunit ribosomal RNA", at positions 338 to 795 of the family's 1533-position model. The record is from RNAcentral.
CCUACGGGUGGCAGCAGUGGGGAAUAUUGCGCAAUGGGCGAAAGCCUGACGCAGCGACGCCGCGUGAGGGAUGAAGGUCUUCGGAUCGUAAACCUCUGUCAGCAGGGAAGAACGGUCACUGUGCUAAUCAGCAGUGAAUUGACGGUACCUGCAAAGGAAGCACCGGCUAACUCCGUGCCAGCAGCCGCGGUAAUACGGAGGGUGCGAGCGUUAAUCGGAAUUACUGGGCGUAAAGCGCUCGUAGGCGGUAUGUCAAGUCAAGGGUGAAAUCCCCGCGCUCAACGUGGGAACUGCCUUUGAAACUGGCAAACUGGAGUGUGUGAGAGGGUAGUGGAAUUCCAGGUGUAGGAGUGAAAUGCGUAGAUAUCUGGAGGAACAUCAGUGGCGAAGGCGACUAUCUGGCACAUAACUGACGCUGAGGAGCGAAAGCGUGGGUAGCAAACAGGAUUAGAUACCCGAGUAGUC